RNAcentral lists this ribosomal RNA (253 nucleotides) under uncultured bacterium. Its description in RNAcentral is "partial 16S ribosomal RNA". It matches the Rfam family "Bacterial small subunit ribosomal RNA", at positions 524 to 776 of the family's 1533-position model. The record is from RNAcentral.
UACGUAGGGGGCAAGCGUUGUCCGGAUUUAUUGGGCGUAAAGAGCGUGUAGGCGGCCAAGCAGGUCAGCUGUGAAAACUCGAGGCUCAACCUCGAGACGUCGGUUGAAACCGCUUGGCUAGAGUCCGGAAGAGGAGAGUGGAAUUCCCGGUGUAGCGGUGAAAUGCGCAGAUAUCGGGAAGAACACCCGUGGCGAAGGCGGCUCUCUGGGCCGAUACUGACGCUGAGGAGCGAAAGCGUGGGGAGCGAACAGG